GAUGAAGGAACGUAGCGAAAUGCGAUAAGUAAUGUGAAUUGCAGAAUUCAGUGAAUCAUCGAAUCUUUGAACGCACCUUGCACCCUUUGGCAUUCCGAAGGGUAUGCUCGUUUGAGUGUCAUUGUACUCUCACACUUCCAAUCUUUGGAUUGGGAGCGGUGGACUUGGGUGUUGCUGCUUACUGUGGCUCACCUCAAAUCGAUUCGUGCACCUCUUGGUUGGACAUAGUACGGCGUGAUAAGUGUCUUCGCCGGCACCUCAGUAGAGGGUGGCUGAUCAGGAGCUCUGUGCUUCAAACCGUCCUCGGACAACAACUGACAACUUGACCUCAAAUCGAGUAGGACUACCCGCUGAACUUAAGCAUAUCAAUAAGCGGAGGA
Molecule: unclassified non-coding RNA, 380 nt
Filed under: soil metagenome
Description: partial contains 5.8S ribosomal RNA, internal transcribed spacer 2, and large subunit ribosomal RNA
Rfam family: 5.8S ribosomal RNA (bases 1-121)
Source: RNAcentral